Long non-coding RNA from Manis javanica (Malayan pangolin), 1523 nucleotides. RefSeq lists it as uncharacterized. NCBI's taxonomy places the organism in Eukaryota, Metazoa, Chordata, Mammalia, Pholidota, Manidae. The record is from RefSeq and is a predicted model, not a curated record.
CGAACGCCGCGCCUCACAGUCUCCAGCGCGCCGCGGAGGCCUCUUCCCUACUCUCAGCCUGGCUUCCUGGGCUUGCGCAACAGACCCCUCCGUGCCUCCAGCUCUCCACCUACUGGCUCCCCGGGAGGGGUGCCCAAGGAACUUCCAGGAUCAUGUUGAAUGGAAGGGCUAAAAUGGGUAUCCUUGUCUUGUUCCUGAUCUUAGAGACUGGCCCUGAGCUGAACCUGAGUCGCCUGGUGGGCUUGCUGAAACACUGAUGCCUGGGCUUGGCCCCCAAAGUUUCUGAUUGGUGAUGCGCAGAUUUUCCAACACGUCCCAGGGAUCAGUGAAAAACCGUCUUGAGUGGUGACCUGGGUGUGCCUGGGUGAAGAGCCAAGCAGCUGCCCUACCUCCCCAAUUGACUGGCCAGCAGUGUUCUCCCUUUGCAGUUGAUGCUUGCUGCUCUGCUCCCUUCCUGUCCUAGAAUGGGCUGGGUGUCUACAUGGUGCUUCUUUAACUGUGAUGUGUGUUGCCCAGGGGCAUAAAUCUGUAUGUCAGGAGUUAAUGAGGAUUCUGAAUAAACUUGGCUUAUCUUCCUGGAGUGACAGUUUUACCUGAUGGCAAGUGAUUUAAACAUUUGCAUUAAUUAAUUAUUGAUUUUAAGUGGUUUAAUAUUUCAAUUUUGUUUCUUUACAAACACUGCUAUUUUAUGAAAUGAAAUCAUCAGUAUACAUGAAUUUUAAAAUGACAAACCGCAUUAUGUGUCAAAGAAAUUUUGGGUUUGCAGCAGGCCACUUAAAUUCAUUCUCCCGGGCCCUUGGGAGCCCUCUCCUGGAAAUUGCUGUGAAGCACUGCAUAAGGUGGUGUUCCAGGCACUUCCAGCAAGGAGGAUGGGAGAGCAGGCAGACAGGACGCUGGUAAGAGGCUGACAGUGAGGAUGGAAGGGCAUUUGUGUGAGAUGAGGUCAGCAUGACAAUGGUUUGGGGUAGAUUUGCAAGCAUGUGUGAACUUAAUAAUAUCCAUAGGUCAUCAUCUCUGCCUUUAAAAAAACAACACAAAACCCUACUCCUCUACUGCCUUUGUUCUGUUGUCCUGUUCUUGCAGUCUCAUCCCAGUCGGGGUGCCGUUAUGGACUGAAUGGUGCUUGCCCAAAAUUCCUAAACUGAAGCCCUAAACCCUCAUACCUCACAAUGUGACUAUUUUUUUAAGAUAGGGCCAUUAAAGAAGUAGUUAAUUAAAAUGAGGUCAUUAGAGUGGGCCCUAAUCCAAUAGGACUUCUGUCCUUCUAAAAUGAGGAGAUUAGGACAGAGAGAGAGAGACCAGACCUAUACAUGCUCCCAGGGACAACCAGGCGAAGAAACAGGGCUAUUUACAUGCCAAGGAGAGAGGCCUCAGACACCUUGAUCUUAGACAUCCAGCGUUCAAAACUGUAAGAAAAUAAAUUCUGUUGUGUAAGCCCUUCAGCUUGUGGUACUGUGUUGUGCAGCCCUAGUCCUAGCUGACUAAUACAGGUGCUUCCUACUCCAAACAUUGUCUUUUAUUGA